This 484-nucleotide ribosomal RNA is filed under the name uncultured bacterium. RNAcentral's name for it is "partial 16S ribosomal RNA". It matches the Rfam family "Bacterial small subunit ribosomal RNA", at positions 28 to 523 of the family's 1533-position model. The record is from RNAcentral.
GAUGAACGCUGGCGGCGUGCUUAACACAUGCAAGUCGAACGGUGAAGCAGGAGCUUGCUCUUGUGGAUCAGUGGCGAACGGGUGAGUAACACGUGAGCAACCUGCCCCUGACUCUGGGAUAAGCGCUGGAAACGGCGUCUAAUACUGGAUAUGUGAUGUGACCGCAUGGUCUGCAUCUGGAAAGAAUUUCGGUUGGGGAGGGGCUGGCGGCCUAUCAGCUUGUUGGGGAGGUAAUGGCUCACCAAGGCGUCGACGGGGAGCCGGCCUGAGAGGGUGACCGGCCACACUGGGACUGAGACACGGCCCAGACUCCUACGGGAGGCAGCAGUGGGGAAUAUUGCACAAUGGGCGGAAGCCUGAUGCAGCAACGCCGCGUGAGGGAUGACGGCCUUCGGGUUGUAAACCUCUUUUAGCAGGGAAGAAGCGAAAGUGACGGUACCUGCAGAAAAAGCACCGGCUAACUACGUGCCAGCCGCCGCGGUAA